GUCUCUUAUGUCUCUCUGGAAUGCUACCCUUGCUCGGAUUUCAUCAAUCUUGUUGUCAAGAGACUGGACAUUGGCGAGUAGUAUGGUAGGGAGUGGUGUGCGAUGUGCCUGUCUCCAGAGCCUGACCAGAAGACCGCUUCGUCUGCCCCUUUUACUGCGACGUUGUUUUGGUUCGCUGGCUGGGAUCCCAUCCAUUGUCCUGGGUGGUGGGCAAAACACAGGAUCUGCUUCGGGAAAGUCGUAUUCCUGGUCGUAAUGAUGGUGAGUUGACGUUGCUCUUAUAUUCAGUGUCACUGUGUCACAUCCUCCCUGCAAUAUAACAAUAUUUAGGAUAUUCUAUUAACUGAAUUAGUGGAUAGAAGCUAACUUUUCUUUUGAGCCUUGUGUUCACUUGGACAUUACAAUGCCUAAACCUCAAUCUAGUGGACAAUGUUAGUUAGAACACUGUGCGCUAGGUAUAUCAAACUCCUCUGUUGUUCUGUUCUGUGUUGUAGGUCUAUUAAACCCCUGUUUACUCCUGUAGGUGUGUUAACUUCUGUUGUUUUGGUUUGUGUUCUGUUCUGCAUUGUAGGUGUAUUAAACCCCUGUUUAUUCCUGUAGGUGUAUGCAGUGGAGGUCAGCUCCAUAGCAGAACACACUGAGACCGUGGUGAGGCAGAAAGGCUGUGAGAAGGUGGUCAGAGUGUUCCAGUGCCGGCCUGAGGAGCUGAGUCUACCUGGCAGAGUGGAUGGGCAACUGUCUGCUGAUCACAUCUUUUGGACUGGCUGGAGGAAUGACCACCAAGGAGACUGUGUGGAGAACACUAACACAACUCCUGACAAAUGCCAUGAACUGGAGAGGGGCCAAUGGGAAGGAGGCAUUCGAACCACUUGCCCUGGUGGCACUGUUUUUGUCACAAGGUGCCAACAUCAAUGCUCAGAUAGAGGAGACAGUAAUCAGUGAUGGUCUAACAUGUGUUGAGUCAUACUGCUUUUUUUAAUAACUUUGCAUGGGUGAGUUGGAUUAAUGGAUGGUCCAUUGUGUGUCUACAACGGUCUCCACUCUGACAGGAAAAGACAUGCACUGCUGUGAAGGAUCCUGCCUGACUCAAAUGCUUCAAAUGGCACAGUUACUGGCACAGGCUGUCUGUUUGACAGGCAUUUAUCAAAAGGAAACCACCAGAACACUAUCCCUAAAAACAGUGAAUAAAGUGAUUGUUUGAUUGAA
Oncorhynchus tshawytscha (Chinook salmon) is the source of this 1206-nucleotide long non-coding RNA. RefSeq lists it as uncharacterized. The record is from RefSeq and is a predicted model, not a curated record. The transcript is spliced from 3 exons. Lineage: Eukaryota; Metazoa; Chordata; Actinopteri; Salmoniformes; Salmonidae.